Long non-coding RNA from Micropterus dolomieu (smallmouth bass), 563 nucleotides. RefSeq lists it as uncharacterized. The record is from RefSeq and is a predicted model, not a curated record. The transcript is spliced from 3 exons. Lineage: Eukaryota; Metazoa; Chordata; Actinopteri; Centrarchiformes; Centrarchidae.
CUGAACAUUUUACUGUUUGAAACCCAGCGUUUGAUGCAGGAAAUAAAGAAAGAAUAAAGAAUAUUUAGAUCAAAUAAAAAUACAGCAAAAGAAACAAACAUGGUCAUUAUUAAGAUCAUCAGUAAAGGAAAUUUCUAGGAGCUUUCUGCAAAACCACAAAUUCAGUACUUUGAGUUUCCUGUUUCUUUAAGAGCCUCUUUUAGACUUUGUGAUCCAGGUCUGUGCACAGAAAAUCUCCGGUUAUUUGUUUUUAGCUGAUCCCUAAAGCACAGCUAGUCUUCCUGGAUUCCAGUUGUUAUAGUAAGAACAUGAUCCGGCAUUUCAAACAGCUGUGACAGAAGAAGCUAAAGCAGAGAAGGAGAGCCGACUGCAGGGGGAGACAGGAGACACAGUUUACCAGAGAAAAAGUACUGACGAGUGCAUGUGUCUGAAAAGUAAUGAAUCUGAGCUGCUUACCUCUGAUGGUCGAGGGCGCGGAGUUCAUCAUCUGUGAGGGCGCCGAGUGAGUAGAGCUAAGGCUGGAGGAGGAGGGGCUUGCCUGCAGCGAGAAAGUUGUUGGUAAG